CUGCUUGAGCCAUAUAGCAGUUGUCAUUGAGCCAACCAUAUUUAUUGUUCUCAAGGCUACCACUUCUUUGCUUCAAUCCAACUGAUAUUCAAAGCUGCAAAUGUUCUUCAAUUGGUGCAGCUUCCUAUAUUAAGAAGCAUGUUAUAUAAAUAUUAAGUUUCUCUGAAAAAAAUGCCUAGCCAAGAAAUGAGGUAAGAAACAUAACUUACUCCUCAAUGCUAUAAAAACAGCCUAUCAAUACCUUUGCACUGGUAAAGGAUUUAUCCCUCGAUGGAUUUACAUCACCUUGACAUUAUAAUUAAAUUGAAUGUAAGGUACAAACGAAGAAAAUUGUUAACCGAUAAAAUAAAAAUCAUAAAAGUUUAGUUGCUUGUAAUUACAUACAUGCUUUCUUGUUAUUAAAUUCAACUAUAUAAAGCAAAACUGAAGAGCAGGGCAUACAACAUCAAAAACCUAGAACUAGCAAAAGUUGCAAAAACAAAAAAAAAUAAAAAUAAAAAUAAAAGAACUUCCAUUUUUUACUUUGUGCAAAUGAAAAGUACUAAACUAGAACUCACAGGGUAAAAUACUAUAAAUAUAUCCAUUACAUGAAUGGAUACAGAAUCACCAUGCUUCUUUGAGCCAAACAGGUCAUGUGUGAUAUGACAAUGUUACUUCUUAAUAUGAUCUGUAGCACUUACUCCGACUAAUCAUCGAAUAGCUUUUAUAAUGAUAAGACAUGUUUAGAUACGUUAGAUAAGGCUUCAAAAAUACAAAGGCGGAACUGCUAGCCAAAGUUUAAUGUAGUACUUUACUUAAUGUAAGACGAUGAUUACUCGCGAAGCUUGUUUUCUGAAAUAAAAGAUAGUUGUGCACAAGGAUAGAAAGAAGUUGGUCUGUUACAGGAUUAGAGUGACAAGAGAUAUGUGUUGUAACUUAUAAGAAGUUGUCACCAUUAUCGGCCCAGUAAUAUUUGUUAAUAUUGGUCCAACAAUCAAUUCAUAGUUAAAGUUGCUCAAAAGUACUAUUAAAACAACUUCUGAUAAACAAACUCCAAAUACAUUUGUAGAAGUAAACAAACCACAAAGGGUGCUUUACCAUGGCGAUUAGCUCAAAUCCUGGAUGAUCAGUUCAUUGCGUUAGAAUGCCCUUUGAUUCAGUGGGUAAAUAUCUACAACAAUCACCUAAAGUUCAUGUAAUUGUACUCAUAUUUCCAACUGUCCAUGAUGUACAAGGAUGCAGUAGUUGCACACGUACAAUAGAACUCAUUUGAUGUCCUUUCUAAUUAAGGAACAAAAUAUUCUCAAAAUUUACAAAGUAAUUACUUAGAAUCUUCUUGCAGUGUAUAAAAUUAGCCAUCCAAAGAAUAUAAUCAUCAAACCCCAUAAAAGGGGAAAAAUAACAAGACAGACAAAAUAGAAAGAGUGCAUUGCGUUGUACCCGGCAUCCUAAGCACACAAUCCAUCUGUUACGAACCCGAUUCGCCCUCCGUGAACCAUCGUGACGGCACCUAGUCCCUACGAUUAGGUAAGCCUAAAUUGCGAAAAAUAAAUUAAUUUGCAGAAGUAAAACAAUUUAAAACAGAAUUAGAGUAAUAAGACAAUGUUUAAAAGUGUCGUUCGGCAUACACGAUAUUUAACUCUCAGAAACCAAUACAUAUCUCCAAGACCCGGAAACCCAUGAAUCACAAGCUAAGGAUCACUACAUAGUGCUCUAACUCCAGAAUAGUCUAAAACAAAAUAAAUACAGAAGGGCGGUAACUAUAAGAGAGAGUGGAGAAAGACUCCUCGAUCUGCGGAUGCGGCAGAUAUACCUCGAAGUCUCCGAACGGUCGCCUCGCCUCAAGGAUGGUAAGUCUGAGUCAAGGUACCUAGAUCUGCACAUAAAAAACAUGCGUAGAAAGGGCAUAAGUACACCACACGGUACUCAGUAAGUGUCAAGCCUAACCUCAG
This 1931-nucleotide long non-coding RNA is filed under the name Nicotiana tabacum (common tobacco). RNAcentral describes it as "long non-coding RNA (NTAB_LNC001297)". Lineage: Eukaryota; Viridiplantae; Streptophyta; Magnoliopsida; Solanales; Solanaceae. The record is from RNAcentral.